RNAcentral lists this ribosomal RNA (590 nucleotides) under Schizothorax pelzami. Its description in RNAcentral is "partial 16S ribosomal RNA". It matches the Rfam family "Bacterial large subunit ribosomal RNA", at positions 1810 to 2603 of the family's 2925-position model. Lineage: Eukaryota; Metazoa; Chordata; Actinopteri; Cypriniformes; Cyprinidae. The record is from RNAcentral.
AAAACAUCGCCUCCUGCAACAUAACCAAGUAUAGGAGGUCCAGCCUGCCCAGUGACCACAAGUUCAACGGCCGCGGUAUUUUGACCGUGCAAAGGUAGCGCAAUCACUUGUCUUUUAAAUAGAGACCUGUAUGAAUGGCUAAACGAGGGCUUAACUGUCUCCCCUUUCAGGUCAGUGAAAUUGAUCUACCCGUGCAGAAGCGGGUAUAAUAAUACAAGACGAGAAGACCCUUUGGAGCUUAAGGUACAAAACUCAACCACGUCAAGCAACUUAAUAAAAAGCAAAAACCUUGUGGAAUGUGAUAUUUUACCUUCGGUUGGGGCGACCACGGAGGAAAGAAAAGCCUCCAAGUGGACUGGGAAAACUUCCUAAAGCCAAGAGAGACAUCUCUAAGCCGCAGAACAUCUGACCAAACAUGAUCCGGCAACAAAGCCGAUCAACGAACCAAGUUACCCUAGGGAUAACAGCGCAAUCCUCUCCCAGAGUCCAUAUCGACGAGGGGGUUUACGACCUCGAUGUUGGAUCAGGACAUCCUAAUGGUGCAGCCGCUAUUAAGGGUUCGUUUGUUCAACGAUUAAAGUCCUACGUGA